RNAcentral lists this ribosomal RNA (199 nucleotides) under uncultured bacterium. Its description in RNAcentral is "partial 16S ribosomal RNA". It matches the Rfam family "Bacterial small subunit ribosomal RNA", at positions 328 to 539 of the family's 1533-position model. The record is from RNAcentral.
ACGCUCGACACCUACGGGAGGCGGCAGUGGGGAAUAUUGCACAAUGGGGGAAACCCGUGAUGCAGCGACGCCGCGUGGAGGAAGAAGGUCUUCGGAUUGUAAACUCCUGUUGUUGGGGAAAAAGAGGAUGGUACCCAACAAGGAAGUGACGGCUAACUACGUGACAGCAGCCGCGGUAAUCUGAGCGGGCUGGCAAGGC